Juglans microcarpa x Juglans regia is the source of this 338-nucleotide long non-coding RNA. RefSeq lists it as uncharacterized. The record is from RefSeq and is a predicted model, not a curated record. The transcript is spliced from 3 exons. Lineage: Eukaryota; Viridiplantae; Streptophyta; Magnoliopsida; Fagales; Juglandaceae.
CUCGCAUCACAUAAAAAAAGGCACAGAACUUACGAAGAUGAUUGAAAGGCAUUAAUAUGAGACCACCUACGAUUGAAUGAAGAAAUUCGGGUGGUUGCUCAAUGGUAUCAGAAUCAUCUUGGUGGUUUAGUUCGGGUUUUACUUACAACUAAUGAUAGAGAGAAAAAGAGGAAUGCUACUGAAGAGGGUGUUUCUGCGGAGACAAAUUGGGUCAUAUGUGAAAUCAUUGGAUCAACUUGAUUUGCUUGACCUGUUAACCAGAAGAUGUCAACGUGGAGGAAAUUGAAGACUUGAGACCAUCAAAGAGGAAAGUUAUUUAUACAGAGGUGGAAGGGAUA